UACGUAGGGUGCGAGCGUUGACCGGAUUUAUUGGGCGUAAAGGGCGCGCAGGCGGCCACGCACGUCCGUUGUGAAAUCGCCCGGCUCAACUGGGCGGGGUCAGCGGAUACGGCGUGGCUGGAGCAAGCUAGGGGGCAAUGGAAUUCCCGGUGUAGUGGUGGAAUGCGUAGAUAUCGGGAGGAACACCAGUGGCGAAGGCGGUUGCCUGGAGCUUUGCUGACGCUGAGGCGCGAAAGCGUGGGGAGCGAUCCGG
This 253-nucleotide ribosomal RNA is filed under the name uncultured bacterium. Its description in RNAcentral is "partial 16S ribosomal RNA". It matches the Rfam family "Bacterial small subunit ribosomal RNA", at positions 524 to 776 of the family's 1533-position model. The record is from RNAcentral.